RNAcentral lists this ribosomal RNA (468 nucleotides) under uncultured bacterium. RNAcentral's name for it is "partial 16S ribosomal RNA". It matches the Rfam family "Bacterial small subunit ribosomal RNA", at positions 28 to 507 of the family's 1533-position model. The record is from RNAcentral.
GACGAACGCUGGCGGCGUGCUUAACACAUGCGAGUCGAACGGAAAGGCCCUGCUUUUGUGGGGUGCUCGAGUGGCGAACGGGUGAGUAACACGUGAGUAACCUGCCCUUGACUUUGGGAUAACUUCAGGAAACUGGGGCUAAUACCGGAUAGGAGCUCCUGCUGCUUGGUGGGGGUUGGAAAGUUUCGGCGGUUGGGGAUGGACUCGCGGCUUAUCAGCUUGUUGGUGGGGUAGUGGCUUACCAAGGCUUUGACGGGUAGCCGGCCUGAGAGGGUGACCGGCCACAUUGGGACUGAGAUACGGGCCAGACUCCUACGGGAGGCAGCAGUGGGGAAUAUUGCACAAUGGGCGGAAGCCUGAUGCAGCAACGCCGCGUGCGGGAUGACGGCCUUCGGGUUGUAAACCGCUUUCGCCUGUGACGAAGCGUGAGUGACGGUAAUGGGUAAAGAAGCACCGGCUAACUACGUG